UGGGGAAUUUUGGACAAUGGGGGCAACCCUGAUCCAGCCAUUCCGCGUGUGCGAUGAAGGCCUUCGGGUUGUAAAGCACUUUUGGCAGGGAAGAAACAGGUCUGGCCAAUACCCGGACCGACUGACGGUACCUGCAGAAUAAGCACCGGCUAACUACGUGCCAGCAGCCGCGGUAAUACGUAGGGUGCAAGCGUUAAUCGGAAUUACUGGGCGUAAAGCGUGCGCAGGCGGCUCGGAAAGAAAGAUGUGAAAUCCCAGGGCUUAACCUUGGAACUGCAUUUUUAACUCCCGAGCUAGAGUAUGUCAGAGGGGGGUAGAAUUCCACGUGUAGCAGUGAAAUGCGUAGAGAUGUGGAGGAAUACCGAUGGCGAAGGCAGCCCCCUGGGAUAAUACUGACGCUCAGGCACGAAAGCGUGGGGAGCAAACA
Molecule: ribosomal RNA, 427 nt
Filed under: uncultured bacterium
Lineage: Bacteria
Description: partial 16S ribosomal RNA
Rfam family: Bacterial small subunit ribosomal RNA
Source: RNAcentral